This 241-nucleotide ribosomal RNA is filed under the name uncultured bacterium. Its description in RNAcentral is "partial 16S ribosomal RNA". It matches the Rfam family "Bacterial small subunit ribosomal RNA", at positions 15 to 235 of the family's 1533-position model. The record is from RNAcentral.
GAUCAUGGCUCAGGAUGAACGCUGGCGGCGUGCUUAACACAUGCAAGUCGAACGAAGCACAUUAAUUAGAGAUCUUCGGAUCAAAGAGAGAUGUGACUUAGUGGCGGACGGGUGAGUAACGCGUGGGUAACCUGCCUUAUACAGGGGGAUAACAGUUAGAAAUGGCUGCUAAUACCGCAUAACCCCGCUAGUACCGCAUGGUACGGACGGAAAAGAUGUAUCGGUAUAAGAUGGACCCGCG